RNAcentral lists this transfer RNA (73 nucleotides) under Epulopiscium sp. Nele67-Bin005. It matches the Rfam family "tRNA". From Rfam's summary of the family: Transfer RNA (tRNA) molecules are approximately 80 nucleotides in length. The record is from Rfam by way of RNAcentral. Lineage: Bacteria; Bacillati; Bacillota; Clostridia; Lachnospirales; Lachnospiraceae.
GAGUUACUAGCUCAGUAGGUAGAGCACUUGACUUUUAAUCAAGUGGUCCCGAGUUCGAGCCUCGGGUGGCUCA